UACGUAGGGUGCGAGCGUUAAUCGGAAUUACUGGGCGUGAAGUGUGCGCAGGCGGCCGAGCAAGUCGAGUGUGAAAGCCCCGAGCUUAACUUGGGAACUGCGCUCGAAACUACUUGGCUAGAGUGUGGCAGAGGGAGGUGGAAUUCCACGUGUAGCGGUGAAAUGCGUAGAGAUGUGGAGGAACACCGAUGGCGAAGGCAGCCUCCUGGGCCAACACUGACGCUCAUGCACGAAAGCGUGGGGAGCAAACAGG
RNAcentral lists this ribosomal RNA (253 nucleotides) under uncultured bacterium. Its description in RNAcentral is "partial 16S ribosomal RNA". It matches the Rfam family "Bacterial small subunit ribosomal RNA", at positions 524 to 776 of the family's 1533-position model. The record is from RNAcentral.